UGAGCAAUCUGCCCUCAGCUCUGGGAUAACCCCGGGAAACCGGGGCUAAUACCGGAUACGACCUCCACGGGCAUCUGUGGAGGUGGAAAGGGUUUCCGGCUGAGGAUGGCCCGNGGCCUAUCAGCUAGUUGGUGUGGGUAAUGGCCUACCAAGGCGACGACGGGUAGCCGGCCUGAGAGGGUGACCGGCCACACUGGGACUGAGACACGGCCCAGACUCCUACGGGAGGCA
Molecule: ribosomal RNA, 231 nt
Filed under: uncultured bacterium
Lineage: Bacteria
Description: partial 16S ribosomal RNA
Rfam family: Bacterial small subunit ribosomal RNA
Source: RNAcentral